AAGACCUUGCGCUUUUGGAGCGGCCGAUGCCUGAUUAGCUUGUUGGUAAGGUAAAAGCUUACCAAGGCUUCGAUCAGUAGCUGGUCUGAGAGGACGACCAGCCACACUGGGACUGAGACACGGCCCAGACUCCUACGGGAGGCAGCAGUGGGGAAUUUUGGACAAUGGGGGCAACCCUGAUCCAGCCAUGCCGCGUGAGUGAAGAAGGCCUUCGGGUUGUAAAGCUCUUUCAGCCGGAACGAAACGGUUACGGUUAAUACCCGUGAUUACUGACGGUACCGGAAGAAGAAGCACCGGCUAACUACGUGCCGGCAGCCGCGGUAAUACGUAGGGUGCGAGCGUUAAUCGGAAUUACUGGGCGUAAAGCGUGCGCAGGUGGUUUUGUAAGUCAGAUGUGAAAGCCCCGGGCUCAACCUGGGAACU
RNAcentral lists this ribosomal RNA (423 nucleotides) under uncultured bacterium. RNAcentral's name for it is "bacterial SSU rRNA". It matches the Rfam family "Bacterial small subunit ribosomal RNA", at positions 207 to 622 of the family's 1533-position model. The record is from RNAcentral.